Long non-coding RNA from Aphis gossypii (cotton aphid), 1847 nucleotides. RefSeq lists it as uncharacterized. The record is from RefSeq and is a predicted model, not a curated record. NCBI's taxonomy places the organism in Eukaryota, Metazoa, Arthropoda, Insecta, Hemiptera, Aphididae. The transcript is spliced from 6 exons.
UACCAGUCACAAUGUUACGUGCUCCGUACAAUAUAUGAACAUUGUUUAAUUGUACAUUAAAAAUCACAACUCAACAAUAUUGAAUAAUAUUAAUAACAAUUUAUUAGAAUUACAGUAUUUUUAGGGGCUUUUUUUCCACACUACCUAACCCACCUAACUCCGAAUGAAUUCAAAAUUAUAUUUUCGUUCAAACUUUUCGCCUUUUUACACUCCCGCGAUGAGCUGCAAUGCUGCACCGGUCCGCGCGAGGGCGCGUUCGAAGUAUGUAUAUAGUCCCUGUAUAGGACGUAGUUAUACUUCACCUUCACAAUUUAAAGAUUUAACUUCAAUUCAAGGUUCGCAAUCACCGUGGUUCGAACCGCUAACUUAGAUCAAAACUUUGACCGAGUAAUCUACUAAUCUGUGCAGACUGUUACUUUUUGAAACUCGCAUCCGACUCGUCAACGACGCGAGUGGCGCUUGCGGUAGUGAUCGUUUCGUUUUUUAUGUAAAAAAAAAAAAUAUAUAAUAGCAGACGCGAUUACGGUGCGUGCCGCGUGGUCGUAUCCUCUCAGUCGACCAGUGGCCACCAAUCUAUAAGGCUGUUAACGAUUAUCAGUCACUGUCACUCUCGAGUCUUGGCAACCAACUCCGGUAACGACAGCAGAACGAUAUUAUAGAAAUUUUAUUGUUUACGUUCUGCAAAUCGAGUUUCAACCGUUCGGCUGCAGACAGUAGACUGCAGUCGUCCGCGACUCCGAAACCAUAGUUGCUAUUAACUCUCCACAUUGAACGUCAUUCACGAGACGCUGGUUAUCAAAUUUUUACAACAGUGCUCUUGAAUCUCGAUUCUCAAUAAUUUGUGUAAGUGUCCUACACAUGACCUAGAGCCAUCAGAAGUCACUGUCAACUGCACAUUAUUGUAGAAGCUUUGACGGUGCCUUCCAAUAUUCAUACAAUUAUUUAUAAAAUAACCAGCUACUAUUUUUGAUUGAAUUAAAAAGGUGUGGUUUCCAUAGAAAGAUGAAUUAUGAUAAUUUGUCACCCUCAAGUUCUCAAAAUCAAGUACAAAGAUCCAGGGAACAAUUUCCAACUAGAUAUUAUUUUACAUUCGAAGUUUUGGUGGUUUGUGAUGUGAAAUUAACAACAGAUGAUGGGGCAGUAAUAUAUGCACGCAAGAAUGAUUUAGUAAAUGCCAGUGAUUAUUUUAAUGCAAUGUUCAAUAAAUUUAAUGAAAAUUAUAAAGAUCAUAUUGUUAUCUUAAAAGAGUUAGAUUCCUUUGCUUUUAAACUCAUAAUAGAUUUUAUUUAUUCUGGUUUAAUCGAUGUCACAGAAAUAGAUUUAGAGGAAUUACAAAAAUGUGUUGUGAGUAUUUACAACGUCAUCUAAGUAUGCCACUGUGUAUUAGUACCAGAGCAUAUUUUGUUCGCUUGAAUAGUUGUUCCGUUCAUUCGACAUUGCUACGGAUUUGUGACACAUUAUAGAAGUAUAGAACACAUGAGAGGAGUGAAUCAAUGUGAUGAGUUCUUAUCUUUGUCAUCUGAAGCAGUAGAAGAAAUAAUUAAGCUGAUCCCCUAUGAUGAAGAUAAUGAAAAACAAGUUGGCAUUAAUCAUUAUUAUAAUACUUUGAUAUAGUGGAUAUAAGAUUAGAAGAUGAAAUUACUUAUAUAAUUUGAUUGUGGAAAGGCAAAUAAUUUUUUUUUCUGAGUAAUUCAAAUUUUGGUAGUUUUGUUUAAAAUAAUUUAAGGAGUGUUAAUUUUUUGCUUACAUUUUUAACAUUAAAGUUAGCUUAAGUCUUAGAAAGAAAAUAUAUGUAUUAAAUAUUAUGUCUGUGUUGUCGUUAACAAUUAAAAUAUUUUUAUCUAUAA